Molecule: ribosomal RNA, 250 nt
Filed under: uncultured bacterium
Lineage: Bacteria
Description: partial 16S ribosomal RNA
Rfam family: Bacterial small subunit ribosomal RNA
Source: RNAcentral
UACAGAGGGGGCGAGCGUUAUUCGGAAUUAUUGGGCGUAAAGGGCGCGUAGGCGGCCGUGCAAGUGGCGGGUGAAAUCCCUCGGCUCAACCGAGGAACUGCCCGCCAGACUGCAUAGCUUGAGGCCGGGAGAGGUGAGUGGAAUUCCCAGUGUAGCGGUGAAAUGCGUAGAUAUUGGGAGGAACACCAGUGGCGAAGGCGGCUCACUGGACCGGAACUGACGCUGAGGCGCGAAAGCGUGGGGAGCAAAC